UGGAUAUUGAUUAUAAAAUUAUAACCAUGCAUAAACAAAUUAUGUUGGUUCAAAAUAUGAAAACUAUAUAAAUAUGGUUUAACAACAUGGUCCUAAAUAUUGAACUGUUAAUUAGCUUUAUAUAAUACUGCUUUAACUUAUGGUCUUACUCUGAUGCACCUACAAACAAUCGACACAAUGUUCAUCAAUUUUACUGUUCUGUAUAUCUAUGUUCUCUGUAUAUCUAUCACAAAUAUUCUGCCAUCCCUGAUGGUUCAUGUGACUAGUUAACAUAAAAUAACAUGAUGACUUAUAAAUAAAAAAAAAAGAAAUAUAUCUGGCAUAAAGGAGGAAGCAAACAAAAAUAUGCAUUCAAUCUCUGAAAACCAUCUAAAUUUUGAUAUGUUAUAACCUUCUACAUUCUAAUUUUUCAAUUUUUUCAAGUCUCUAAAUUAUUAUCAAAUUUCUAAAAGUGGGUUAUCUUUAACAGAAAAAUACAAACAUACCUCCUGAACAAAGGCUGUAUUUGAUAAAAAAGAUAAUAUUUUAGCUGUUGUCAGCAGCUUUUUUAUUCAGCUAAUGCAUGUACAUAUCAAGUUGUUUGUUUGUCUACAUUCUAAUGGUAAGAUGUAUUGGUGAAAAGGUAGAACAACACAACUGUCUACAUUCUAAUGGUAAGAUGUUUUGGUAAAAAGGUAGAACACAACUGUCUACAUUCUAAUGGUAAGAUGUUUUGGUGAAAAGGUAGAACAACACAACUGUAAAAUAGUUUGAUAUUCUAUAAUUAAGGAGGCUUGCGGGUAUAAGAUUUUCAGAAAAAAAUUAAACAUUUAUUUUU
Molecule: long non-coding RNA, 817 nt
Filed under: Mytilus galloprovincialis (Mediterranean mussel)
Lineage: Eukaryota; Metazoa; Mollusca; Bivalvia; Mytilida; Mytilidae
Source: RNAcentral